AGUGAACGCUGGCGGUAGGCCUAACACAUGCAAGUCGAACGGCAGCACAGUAAGAGCUUGCUCUUACGGGUGGCGAGUGGCGGACGGGUGAGGAAUACAUCGGAAUCUACUUUUUCGUGGGGGAUAACGUAGGGAAACUUACGCUAAUACCGCAUACGACCUACGGGUGAAAGCAGGGGAUCUUCGGACCUUGCGCGAUUGAAUGAGCCGAUGUCGGAUUAGCUAGUUGGCGGGGUAAAGGCCCACCAAGGCGACGAUCCGUAGCUGGUCUGAGAGGAUGAUGAGCCACACUGAAACGGAGACACGGUCAGGACUCCUACGGGAGGCGGAGGUGGGAAAUAUUGGACAAUGGGCGCAGGCCGAAUCAAGCCAUACGGGGUGGGUGAAGAGGCCCUUCGGGUUGUAAAGCCCUUUUGUUGGGAAAGAAAGGCAGCAGGUUAAUACCCCGCUGUUCUGACGGUACCCAAAGAAUAAGCAACGGCUAACUUCGUG
This 492-nucleotide ribosomal RNA is filed under the name uncultured bacterium. RNAcentral describes it as "partial 16S ribosomal RNA". It matches the Rfam family "Bacterial small subunit ribosomal RNA", at positions 29 to 507 of the family's 1533-position model. The record is from RNAcentral.